Molecule: ribosomal RNA, 1251 nt
Filed under: Triticum aestivum (bread wheat)
Lineage: Eukaryota; Viridiplantae; Streptophyta; Magnoliopsida; Poales; Poaceae
Description: partial small subunit ribosomal RNA
Source: RNAcentral
AUGACCAGAAGUUCCCAUAUAUCUCCUGCAACAAAAACCGAAGACCAUAAUUUUCCAUACAUCUAUGGCCCUGCCACAAAACCCGAAGACAUGAAGUUUCCUUAUAUCUAUGGCCCAUCUAUGAAAACCAACGACCAGAAAUUUCCUUACAUCUACGCCCCAUCCACAAAAACCGAUGACCAAAAUUUUCCAUAUAUCUUUGGCCCUGACACUAAAACAAACGACCAGAAGUUUCCAUACAUCUAUGGCCCAACCACAAAACCAAACAACCAAAAGUCUCCAUACAUCUACGGGCCAACCACAGAUGACCAGAAAUUUCCAUACAUAUAUGGAUCCGCUACGAAAUCUGAUAGCCAGAAUUUUCCAUAUAUCUAUGGCCCAACCAUGAAAACCAGUGACCAAAAAUUUCCAUACAUCUAUGGCCCAGCCAUGAAAACUGAUGACCAUAAGUUUCCAUACAUCUAUGGUCCGGCCACGAAAACCAAUGAUCAAAAGUUUCCGUACAUCUACGGCCAAGACAUGACAACUGAGGACCACAAAUUUCCAUACAUCUACGACCAAGACACGAAAAAUGAUGACCAGAAGUUUCCGUAUAUCUACGGCCCACACACGAAAACUGAUGACCUGAAGUUUCCAUACAUCUACGCCCUAGCCACAAAAACCGGUGAGGUGAAGUUUCCCUACAUAUAUGGUCCAACCAUGGGAACAAAUGGCAAGAAUUAUAAGUUUCCAUAUAUAUACGGCCUAGAAAGGAAUGUCGACGACCAGAAGACCACAAGGAGCAAAGGUUUUCCAGGAAUUAGCACGAUGGGCGCGUCCAAUCUGCAAGAAAAGGUGAGCGAGGGAGACGUUCACAUCCAUGGAGACUUCACGUUCACGGAAGACAUCGUGAAACUAGGAUCUACAAUCAUCCCUUACAUCCUACCAUCAGCUACCUUAGGUGCUCCUUUGCUGCAGCGUGACAUCGCUGACUCCAUCCCCAUUUCCAUGAGGAACUUCAAUGGCAUCAUGAAAAUGUUCACGUCAGUAUCUUACACCAUGGCAAACGACAUAUGGUCGACCCUGAACAUGUGUGAGAAUGUGCACCCUCUCAACGGCGAGAAGAAAACAUGUAUCGGCUCCGUGGAAUCAAUGGUCGAGUUUGUCUCAUCGAUGCUCGGGAGUACACGCGACCUACAAGCUUUCUCCUCAUCCCAAGUGCCCAAUGAAGGUGUGGUGACAAGGAGGAGGUACAAAGUAGUGGCGUCAUGA